This 261-nucleotide unclassified non-coding RNA is filed under the name Hevea brasiliensis (rubber tree). The record is from RNAcentral. Lineage: Eukaryota; Viridiplantae; Streptophyta; Magnoliopsida; Malpighiales; Euphorbiaceae.
UGAGUUGAGUUGAGUUGAGUUUAGACUAGAGGAAUUAGUUAUGAUCAAAAAGGGAUAGAGACGUGUUCUUAGAUAAGAGGAACUGAAAAAUGUUUGCUUCGGGGACAGUACUUAUUUGGCCUCAAAGCACAAGCAAAAUUAUGAGAUAUAUGUGAAUGUUAUUGCUCAAAGACAUCAUUGCUAGAAGUACUGUCUAAAUUUGUUCUGUGGUUCUUACUUGAUUGAUAACGGCACUUAUCUUUACAGUUUCGAGUAUCAUGC